Molecule: ribosomal RNA, 652 nt
Filed under: Bacteroides sp. ES-34
Lineage: Bacteria; Pseudomonadati; Bacteroidota; Bacteroidia; Bacteroidales; Bacteroidaceae
Description: bacterial SSU rRNA
Rfam family: Bacterial small subunit ribosomal RNA
Source: RNAcentral
CAUGCAGUCGAGGGGCAGCAUGGUCUUAGCUUGCUAAGGCCGAUGGCGACCGGCGCACGGGUGAGUAACACGUAUCCAACCUGCCGUCUACUCUUGGACAGCCUUCUGAAAGGAAGAUUAAUACAAGAUGGCAUCAUGAGUCCGCAUGUUCACAUGAUUAAAGGUAUUCCGGUAGACGAUGGGGAUGCGUUCCAUUAGAUAGUAGGCGGGGUAACGGCCCACCUAGUCUUCGAUGGAUAGGGGUUCUGAGAGGAAGGUCCCCCACAUUGGAACUGAGACACGGUCCAAACUCCUACGGGAGGCAGCAGUGAGGAAUAUUGGUCAAUGGGCGAGAGCCUGAACCAGCCAAGUAGCGUGAAGGAUGACUGCCCUAUGGGUUGUAAACUUCUUUUAUAAAGGAAUAAAGUCGGGUAUGGAUACCCGUUUGCAUGUACUUUAUGAAUAAGGAUCGGCUAACUCCGUGCCAGCAGCCGCGGUAAUACGGAGGAUCCGAGCGUUAUCCGGAUUUAUUGGGUUUAAAGGGAGCGUAGAUGGAUGUUUAAGUCAGUUGUGAAAGUUUGCGGCUCAACCGUAAAAUUGCAGUUGAUACUGGAUAUCUUGAGUGCAGUUGAGGCAGGCGGAAUUCGUGGUGUAGCGGUGAAAUGCUUAGAUA